GACGAACGCUGGCGGCGUGCUUAACACAUGCAAGUCGAACGGAAAGGCCUUUUCGGCGGUACUCGAGUGGCGAACGGGUGAGUAACACGUGGGUGAUCUGCCCUGCACUCUGGGAUAAGCCUGGGAAACUGGGUCUAAUACCGGAUAGGACCGCACUUUAGUGUGUGUGGUGGAAAGUUUUUUCGGUGUAGGAUGAGCCCGCGGCCUAUCAGCUUGUUGGUGGGGUAAUGGCCUACCAAGGCGGCGACGGGUAGCCGGACUGAGAGGUUGGUCGGCCACAUUGGGACUGAGAGACGGCCCAGACUCCGACGGGGGGCAGCAGUGGGGAAGAGUGCACAAUGGGCGCGAGCCGGAUGCAGCGACGCCGCGUGGGGGAUGACGGCCUUCGGGUUGUAAACGCCUUUCGCCAGGGACGAAGCGUUUUGUGACGGUACCUGGAGAAGAAGCACCGGCUAACUACGUG
RNAcentral lists this ribosomal RNA (463 nucleotides) under uncultured bacterium. RNAcentral's name for it is "partial 16S ribosomal RNA". It matches the Rfam family "Bacterial small subunit ribosomal RNA", at positions 28 to 507 of the family's 1533-position model. The record is from RNAcentral.